CUACGGGCUGCUGCAGUGGGGAAUAUUGGACAAUGGGGGCAACCCUGAUCCAGCCAUGCCGCGUGAGUGAUGAAGGCCUUAGGGUUGUAAAGCUCUUUCACCCGUGACGAUGAUGACGGUAGCGGGAGAAGAAGCCCCGGCUAACUCCGUGCCAGCAGCCGCGGUAAGACGGAGGGGGCUAGCGUUGUUCGGAAUUACUGGGCGUAAAGCGCGCGUAGGCGGCUGACCAAGUCAGGUGUGAAAGCCCUGGGCUCAACCCGGGAACUGCACUUGAGACUGGUCGGCUCGAGUCCGGGAGAGGGUGGUGGAACUCCCAGUGUAGAGGUGAAAUUCGUAGAUAUUGGGAAGAACACCGGUGGCGAAGGCGGCCACCUGGCCCGGCACUGACGCUGAGGCGCGAAAGCGUGGGGAGCAAACAGGAUUAGAUACCCUUGUAGUC
Molecule: ribosomal RNA, 439 nt
Filed under: uncultured bacterium
Lineage: Bacteria
Description: partial 16S ribosomal RNA
Rfam family: Bacterial small subunit ribosomal RNA
Source: RNAcentral